Molecule: long non-coding RNA, 535 nt
Filed under: Malus domestica (apple)
Lineage: Eukaryota; Viridiplantae; Streptophyta; Magnoliopsida; Rosales; Rosaceae
Description: long non-coding RNA (MDOM_LNC002951)
Source: RNAcentral
UGCUUUGUGAUUUGUCGUGAAAAUCCUAGCUUCAGAGUUGGAUUUGGGCUCAACGUUCAUCACUCUUCAUCGAGUUUCCUCUUUCUGGACUGCAUGACACACACUGGUAAAAGAUGGCAACUCUUGAGUCAUUAACAAAUGACUACGCAGGUCUUCAUACUCCGCUCCCAAGCUUGCUAAGAGUUGAAACACCUUGUCUUCAUCAGCCCUCUUCAGUAGCACAACGGAAUUAGUCGUGUGUGGACGAUACAUAUCGAGUUCAUUCCACAUGGAUUUCAUACUUCCAAGGUGUUGAACAAAGGAGUGAUCACUUUGCUUUAAACUAGCCACACUCUUCUUUAGUUGAAAGAUGCGAACUGAGUUGUUUUGGCUGCCAUACAUAUCUUUGACAGACUCCCAUAGGAGAAGGGAAGACCAGGACAUGACCAGCUGAUCAGUAGCAUGCCAUGCAUCGUAAGUUGGAGAAGUGGAUUCUGGGGGCUCAGAGCUUCCAUUGAUAAACCCUAGCUUUGAUCUUCCUCCUAGAGCAAGUGAC